Molecule: ribosomal RNA, 467 nt
Filed under: uncultured bacterium
Lineage: Bacteria
Description: partial 16S ribosomal RNA
Rfam family: Bacterial small subunit ribosomal RNA
Source: RNAcentral
GACGAACGCUGGCGGCGUGCUUAACACAUACAAGUCGAACGGAAAGGCCUCUUUCGGGGGGUACUCGAGUGGCGAACGGGUGAGUAACACGUGAGUAACCUGCCCUUGACUUUGGGAUAACUUCAGGAAACUGGGGCUAAUACCGGAUAGGAGCUCCUGCUGCAUGGUGGGGGUUGGAAAGUUUCGGCGGUUGGGGAUGGACUCGCGGCUUAUCAGCUUGUUGGUGGGGUAGUGGCUUACCAAGGCUUUGACGGGUAGCCGGCCUGAGAGGGUGACCGGCCACAUUGGGACUGAGAUACGGCCCAGACUCCUACGGGAGGCAGCAGUGGGGAAUAUUGCACAAUGGGUGGAAGCCUGAUGCAGCAACGCCGUGUGCGGGAUGACGGCCUUCGGGUUGUAAACCGCUUUCGCUCAUGACGAAGCUUUGUGUGACGGUAGUGGGUAAAGAAGCACCGGCUAACUACGUG